UGGACUUUAUUUUUUUAUUUUAAAAAAAUAUCCCAUGAAAUACGUAAGAAAGGAAAACAGAGAAAUUAACUUGACAAUGAAAGAACACUUAGCAGCAGCAGUAGCUGCUGUCUGGUGGAGCUGCAGGCCACAGGCUGGGUCUGAGCCACCCAGGGGAGCCAGGGGACCCACUGUUGGAGUCUCGCAGUCCCUGCCGCAGUGACAAGAGUCCAGCGGAACUGUUCUCCCACAGGCUCGGCCCCAGGGACUACAGAAGGAGCAUUCAGCCAGCCUCUCCGGAAACAGGGUCAUUCACAUUCCUGUGGCAGUGAAUGAGACGGGAAUCCGUGGCAGGGUUGCUGGCGGAAGCAGGUAGAAGUCUGGACCCACCUUCCGGGAAGACGCCGCCUCGGGUUGGGCCUCAGAGUCACCUUGCUGAGAGGGGUCUGAGGUGACUGUGGUGCUGCCCGUCUGGGUCACACAGGUGUGGGGGUCAGGACACCUGGAAGCAGUGGGCGCCUUGGGCUCCAACGGUGCAGACACGGGGAGGAGUGACGGCUGCCAUCUGCUCAGCAACUGUUCCUGCAGGGCACACAAAGGAGCGGACUUCAGGUGAUCGAGUCCAUCGAUACUGGGAAGACUAGCACACUUGAUACACAAGUGAAGAGACUCGGCAUUAGUGCUGGCAAAACUCCAGCAGACUGGGCCGGGCAGGGACCUUCUCCAGCUGACGGCUCCGUCCAGCUGGCCUGGGCCCGUGGAGAGGGUGGCACGCUGGGACCAGGAAGACACCUGCUGUGCCCUCUGCGGUCUGUGGCAGCCUCAGCCAGGGUCUUUGGGAUCCGCGCUCCUGGCCAGCACAGCAGGGAAAGGAGAAGACCCAGGGGCGCACCGCCUGGGGAGGAGGGUCGGGCCACCGAGUCCUCCUGGCCAGCGCUGUCCAGGAGAAAAGCCCAAAGGAGCUACAGGAAGAGGAGGAGAACUGGGCAGGCAGCAAGUUCAUGGGACCAGCUUCACAGUAGGAACCCUGCUUCUACGGGUGCAAGGCCACCUCCAGGGCGAGGCGUGGCGGCGGCAUUCUGCCGGGUGCCUUAGCCAGAGCAGGGACAAGGGCCAAAGGCAGGGAGGACGGUGUGCGGGCCAUAGCCGCCCAGGGAGGCAUAGGCUGAGGCCUCUGCCCCCGGGCUUCACCGCAAAGCUCAGGAAGGAUGGACAGGAGGCAGGAAUGGGAGCAAGGCUGCUCUGCGGGCCCCUGAGGGUUGAGCAGCUGCCAGUUGUCUCCCGGGCUGUGUCCUGGUGCCAGGCAGGGGCUUCACCAUCUCCUGGGAAGAGAGCAGUGAGGCUGCGGCUCACAAAGGGCCGGUGGGUCCAGCGCCCCCAUGUGUGCAGCCUGGGGGUCCCCCUGCUGUGACCUCAGGCCAUGCUGAUCCCGGGCUGCAGGUGCCCGCUGAGAAGCGGGAGGUGCUGGCAGGUGUCCACUGUGCCGACUGUGUGCCACGCGUGCCCCUCACAGCCCCUGCUGUGCCCUCCGUGUGCCACGUGAGGACUGCCUGUCUGUUCCUGCAGUACACAGGCGCCAGCACGGCCUCUGCCCGGGCCUGAGCUCUCCCCGCCCGCCUUCCUAGGGGCAGGAGGAGGAGAGAGGACAUCGGGCGACGUCCUGACGCCUGGCCCUUUCACCUGCUGCUUCACAGGCCGGGGGCACUGGCCCUGCUGACUCCGCCUCCAUAGUGCAGCCUUCCCCUCCGCAUCUUCCCCUCAGCCCCCUGCCCUCUGCCCUUGCUCAGGGUGUCUCCUUGUAUUGAGACCACUGCGGCAGGGGCUGAGCGCCUGGCACGGUACUGUGACCCGCUGCAGCCGGAAGUGCCCGGCUGUGGCUCCGCCCCUUCACUUCCGGGCAGCCCAGCCACCCGGCCUGCGCCCGGCGUCUCCUCCCCGCCCGCCCGCGCUGGACGCCUGGCUGCCCUCAGGUCUCAGCUGCGGUGGACAGGGAGUGCGGGGACCCUGAGGUCCAUCUUCUUCUUUUUGUUGUUGACGCGGUCUUGCUAUGUAGCCCAGGCUGGCCUCCAACUCGUGGUGAUUCUCCCGCCUCAGCCUCUUGCGUGCUGGUGUCAUGGGCGUGCGCCACUGUGGCUGGCUGAUUAGGCGGACGUUCUCAGGUUUCUCUGCUCGCCACUGACCAGGCCGGAGGCCACCUAUCUGAGCAAAAAGGACAAAGGGCUUACUCAAGGCUGGCCCCGAGGACACGGAGGGCCCACUUGCCUCAGGUCCCCCGCAGAGGCGGGAAAGGCCGUCCGUGGAACCAGGGGCGGGGAGGCCGAGCCAGGAGCCUGCGUGGAGCAGCCGCGUCCUUCUCCCCGCGAGGGCCGAAUCUUUGCCCGGGGCCCGCGCUCUCCCGGGGCCUCUGCUGCCCGGUUCUCGGGUUUCUGGGCAAAGGGAGAGGAAAUGGUAGAAAUGACAGCCGCGAAGCCGCACGUGACCACGACGCUGCUCGGUCCUGCGACCCAGCCAUCGCCGGCCGCCGUGCAGGUCUAUGCCUCGCCGCUUGUUCCACAGCUUCUGUUUCCGUGUGUGUGUGUUGCGCGCAUGCGCGGCACUCGGCAUCGAACCCAUGGCCUUUGCCCUCAGCUGCAGCCUCAGCCUUGUUUUAUCUCCUCUUCCUAAGUCACUACAUCGCCUUGUGACCCUCCUGCCUCAGCCUCCCAGAGGGCCGGGAUGACAGGCUUCAGAACGGCAAAAGGAAAUGGACCUGCAUGGAUCAAAUGCUCCCUGCGUUCUGCUCCUGCCGAGAGGCCAGCAAAGCCCAAGGACCGACGGGGCCACGGUCCCCUCAGUUUGAAUUACAGUGGAGCCGGUGCUGGGUGUGUGGUGGGUAAACGGUGCCACGUGCAGCCCGAACCCUCGCUGACUUGGAAUCGGGCUGCACAAACUCCCUGUGCGGUGGUGGGGAAAGUGCUGGUGCUGAAGAAAAUGCUCAGGAGGAGACCACUUAGGCUUCACUCUUCCCAUCUGGUCUUCCAUACAGGAAGGCAAGGUCGAGCCCCACCUGGACGGCAGGAAGCCACACCGGGCAGCUGAGCCUCCUGGGGGAACUCUCUUCGCUCACUCCACGGGACAGCGUCACCAAUCCCCAGAGCUGCUGUCCCCAGGGUCCUUCUCAGGGAGAGGGGCUCUUGGGAAACAGAGUUGCAAGCCCCUUCCCAUUCAUCAGGGCCACCUGAUACAAAGUAUCCUUUGCUCCUCUGGUGUGAUCAAAACAUGCAACUCCUAGUGAGGCUGGGUAAGGACCCAGGGUUCACAUUUAGCAGGUGUCCUGGGUGUCUAGAUUCUACCACCACAGAGAAUAAGACAGGAAAAACUUCCUCAGCCCAUCGUGGUGGUGCACACCUAUAAUCCCCGCACUGUGGGAGGCUGAGUCAGGAGAAUCACAAAUCCAAGCCAAGCCUAGACAAUUUAGUGACAGGUAGAUUCUGUUUUAGUCACUUUCCUUGUCACUAGGACACAGUGCAU
Molecule: long non-coding RNA, 3489 nt
Organism: Heterocephalus glaber (naked mole-rat)
Lineage: Eukaryota; Metazoa; Chordata; Mammalia; Rodentia; Bathyergidae
Source: Ensembl